Molecule: ribosomal RNA, 2025 nt
Filed under: Streptomyces cinnamoneus
Lineage: Bacteria; Bacillati; Actinomycetota; Actinomycetes; Kitasatosporales; Streptomycetaceae
Description: bacterial LSU rRNA
Rfam family: Bacterial large subunit ribosomal RNA
Source: RNAcentral
UAAGGCCCCUAAGCGUACGCUAAGUGGGAAAGGAUGUGGAGUCGCAGAGACAACCAGGAGGUUGGCUUAGAAGCAGCCACCCUUGAAAGAGUGCGUAAUAGCUCACUGGUCAAGUGAUUCCGCGCCGACAAUGUAGCGGGGCUCAAGCGUACCGCCGAAGUCGUGUCAUUGCAGUAUGUACCCCCAACGGGGACUGUGAUGGGUAGGGGAGCGUCGUGUGCCGGGUGAAGCAGCCGCGGAAGCGAGUUGUGGACGGUUCACGAGUGAGAAUGCAGGCAUGAGUAGCGAUACACACGUGAGAAACGUGUGCGCCGAUUGACUAAGGGUUCCUGGGUCAAGCUGAUCUGCCCAGGGUAAGUCGGGACCUAAGGCGAGGCCGACAGGCGUAGUCGAUGGACAACCGGUUGAUAUUCCGGUACCCGCUUUGAAACGCCCAAUAUCGAAUCAGGCGAUGCUAAGUCCGUGAAGCCGCCCUGGAGUCUUCGGACAAAGGGGAGUGGUGGAGCCGACGAACCAGACUUGUAGUAGGUAAGCGAUGGGGUGACGCAGGAAGGUAGUCCAGCCCGGGCGGUGGUAGUCCCGGGGUAAGGGUGUAGGCCGUGUGAUAGGCAAAUCCGUCACACAUUAAGGCUGAGACCUGAUGCCGAGCCGAUUGUGGUGAAGUGGAUGAUCCUAUGCUGUCGAGAAAAGCCUCUAGCGAGUUUCAUGGCGGCCCGUACCCUAAACCGACUCAGGUGGUCAGGUAGAGAAUACCGAGGCGUUCGGGUGAACUAUGGUUAAGGAACUCGGCAAAAUGCCCCCGUAACUUCGGGAGAAGGGGGGCCAUGUCUGGUGAGGGAACUUGCUUCCUGAGCUGGGUGUGGCCGCAGAGACCAGCGAGAAGCGACUGUUUACUAAAAACACAGGUCCGUGCGAAGCCGUAAGGCGAUGUAUACGGACUGACGCCUGCCCGGUGCUGGAACGUUAAGGGGACCGGUUAGCUCCAUUUCGGUGGGGCGAAGCUGAGAACUUAAGCGCCAGUAAACGGCGGUGGUAACUAUAACCAUCCUAAGGUAGCGAAAUUCCUUGUCGGGUAAGUUCCGACCUGCACGAAUGGCGUAACGACUUCUCGACUGUCUCAACCAUAGGCCCGGUGAAAUUGCACUACGAGUAAAGAUGCUCGUUUCGCGCAGCAGGACGGAAAGACCCCGGACCUUUACUAUAGCUUGAUAUUGGUGUUCGGUUCGGCUUGUGUAGGAUAGGUGGGAGACUGUGAAGCAUGCACGCCAGUGUGUGUGGAGUCGUCGUUGAAAUACCACUCUGGUCGUGCUGGAUGUCUAACCUGGGUCCGUGAUCCGGAUCAGGGACAGUGUCUGGUGGGUAGUUUAACUGGGGCGGUUGCCUCCUAAAGGGUAACGGAGGCGCCCAAAGGUUCCCUCAGCCUGGUUGGCAAUCAGGUGUUGAGUGUAAGUGCACAAGGGAGCUUGACUGUGAGACCGACGGGUCGAGCAGGGACGAAAGUCGGGACUAGUGAUCCGGCGGUGGCUUGUGGAAGCGCCGUCGCUCAACGGAUAAAAGGUACCCCGGGGAUAACAGGCUGAUCUUCCCCAAGAGUCCAUAUCGACGGGAUGGUUUGGCACCUCGAUGUCGGCUCGUCGCAUCCUGGGGCUGGAGUCGGUCCCAAGGGUUGGGCUGUUCGCCCAUUAAAGCGGUACGCGAGCUGGGUUUAGAACGUCGUGAGACAGUUCGGUCCCUAUCCGCUGUGCGCGUAGGAGUCUUGAGAAGGGCUGUCCCUAGUACGAGAGGACCGGGACGGACGAACCUCUGGUGUGCCAGUUGUCCUGCCAAGGGCAUGGCUGGUUGGCUACGUUCGGGAGGGAUAACCGCUGAAAGCAUCUAAGCGGGAAGCCUGCUUCGAGAUGAGGACUCCCACCCACUUGAUGGGGUAAGGCUCCAGUAGACGACUGGGUUGAUAGGCCAGGUGUGGAAGACCGGUAACGGUUGGAGCUGACUGGUACUAAUAGGCCGAGGGCUUGUCCUCAGUUG